AGAGCGAACGCUGGCGGCGUGCUUAACACAUGCAAGUCGAACGCGCAGCAUUCUGUAGCAAUACAGGGUGUGGGCGCGUGGCGAACGGGUGCGUAACACGUGGAUAACCUUCCUUCAGGUGGGAAUAACCCAGUGAAAAUUGGGCUAAUACCGCAAUAACAAAACGAUGAGACAUCUUGUUGUUUUCAAAGGCGCAAGUCGCCAGAAGAGGGAUCCGCGGCCGAUUAGCUUGUUGGCGAGGUAAUGGCUCACCAAGGCAAUGAUC
RNAcentral lists this ribosomal RNA (265 nucleotides) under uncultured bacterium. RNAcentral's name for it is "partial small subunit ribosomal RNA". It matches the Rfam family "Bacterial small subunit ribosomal RNA", at positions 26 to 281 of the family's 1533-position model. The record is from RNAcentral.